RNAcentral lists this ribosomal RNA (895 nucleotides) under Escherichia coli. Its description in RNAcentral is "partial 23S ribosomal RNA". It matches the Rfam family "Bacterial large subunit ribosomal RNA", at positions 612 to 1512 of the family's 2925-position model. Lineage: Bacteria; Pseudomonadati; Pseudomonadota; Gammaproteobacteria; Enterobacterales; Enterobacteriaceae. The record is from RNAcentral.
AUAAUGGGUCAGCGACUUAUAUUCUGUAGCAAGGUUAACCGAAUAGGGGAGCCGAAGGGAAACCGAGUCUUAACUGGGCGUUAAGUUGCAGGGUAUAGACCCGAAACCCGGUGAUCUAGCCAUGGGCAGGUUGAAGGUUGGGUAACACUAACUGGAGGACCGAACCGACUAAUGUUGAAAAAUUAGCGGAUGACUUGUGGCUGGGGGUGAAAGGCCAAUCAAACCGGGAGAUAGCUGGUUCUCCCCGAAAGCUAUUUAGGUAGCGCCUCGUGAAUUCAUCUCCGGGGGUAGAGCACUGUUUCGGCAAGGGGGUCAUCCCGACUUACCAACCCGAUGCAAACUGCGAAUACCGGAGAAUGUUAUCACGGGAGACACACGGCGGGUGCUAACGUCCGUCGUGAAGAGGGAAACAACCCAGACCGCCAGCUAAGGUCCCAAAGUCAUGGUUAAGUGGGAAACGAUGUGGGAAGGCCCAGACAGCCAGGAUGUUGGCUUAGAAGCAGCCAUCAUUUAAAGAAAGCGUAAUAGCUCACUGGUCGAGUCGGCCUGCGCGGAAGAUGUAACGGGGCUAAACCAUGCACCGAAGCUGCGGCAGCGACACUAUGUGUUGUUGGGUAGGGGAGCGUUCUGUAAGCCUGUGAAGGUGUACUGUGAGGUAUGCUGGAGGUAUCAGAAGUGCGAAUGCUGACAUAAGUAACGAUAAAGCGGGUGAAAAGCCCGCUCGCCGGAAGACCAAGGGUUCCUGUCCAACGUUAAUCGGGGCAGGGUGAGUCGACCCCUAAGGCGAGGCCGAAAGGCGUAGUCGAUGGGAAACAGGUUAAUAUUCCUGUACUUGGUGUUACUGCGAAGGGGGGACGGAGAAGGCUAUGUUGGCCGGGCGACGGUUGUCCCGGUU